UCGAACCUUCAAAGAACAGACACAGAUCAUCACACACUGACCGUGAACACAACACAGAGGCUGACACUGACGCACACACACACUCACACACAAACACGUGGUGAUCCGAGCACACACCUUAAAACACAGAAAAUACUAAAAAACUACAAGCACCACGACAACGACUGAAAAACAACAAAUAAGAAGCCAAAGUCAGGCGGUCUCGUCCCCCGUUCUCCCCGUUACGCCCUCCUAACCCGCUGUCCGGUGCCCAUUUUUUCCGGCGUACAAAAACCUCAAAAUCGGUACGGCAAGAGAGAAAUGGCAAAAGGUUGAAUGCGGUAAGAUCUGGAUGAGGAGGAGUCGCAGCAGCGCAGGGCUGGCUACAGAAAAAGUGUGUUUGUGACCGAGCAAAGGAAAGGGUGGUGUUUCUUUUUUUCUUUUUUUUUUUUGGUGCUUCAUUCUGCUUGGCUUUUUUGGAUCCCAGCAGGAUCCUUGGCUGCAUCUCCUGUCUCUUCUUAGAGCUGCCAAAAAUUUGGACAUAUCCCUUUGUCUUACACUCUGUUGCAUCAAAUCAAAUUGAGAGAUGAGAAAAGAUAAUAAUUUAAAACGAGACAAGGAAAAAAAGGGGGGAAAGAAAGGAAGGAAGGAGCCGGCCAACAAAAAGUGGAGUUAUUAAAGAAAAGGGCACAGCAUGAGUGAGAGGAGAGAGGAGAGGAGGAGAGAGGAGAGAGGAGGAGAGAGGAGGAGAGAGGAGGCUUAGCAGCUGAAUGCAAGAAACAAAAAUUCAUUUAAAAAAAAGGGAAGAAAAAGAUUUCUCGUCUGAAUUUUUUCAUGUUAUCUCCAAAGAAGCUUGAGCUGCAGAACGUUUCUUCUCUGCUGCUACAAACAGCAGCCGAAGCCUUUUCCAAGCUCUGCCACGUAGUGAGAGAGGAGAGAGGGAGAGAGGGAGAGAGGGAAGCAGACACUUUUCCUCUCUCCAAAAUGGCUGAGGGCCGGGAGCAGAGCUGGAGCCCCCGUCCCGCUCAGGGGAGGGCUGAGGCCAUUCAGGCAGAGCAUCUCUCCCCGUCUCCCCUCUCCUCUGCUCGCUCUGCCCUUUGUCCCGUUAGUCGUGUUUCAGCCCGGGCGAGCGGCGCACAGCUGUGCUGUCGGUCCAUGAGAAACUGGACCUGGCCCGGCGAGCAGGGAAAGCUCACACGGCUUAUUGUGCCCGACAUGGCCACGUCUGAUCUGCACACUGUUGUUACCCAUGUGGCGGUGCCGAAGAGACAGCAGAGCGACCGACCCCAGAACCAGAACAAGGUGACCCGUUAAAGCCCGACAGAACCCGAGACAACCCAGAUGAAGAGCGACAUUGACAAGUUUGGUCUGAUUCCCGCCUCCUGUGAACGCGACAUAGUGACUAAUAAUUAACCGGCUCGGUUAAUGAUUAGUUAGUUAGUUGAGAAACUUUGUGAGAGACUUCUUGCUGCAGUGUCGGGCGUAGUCUCCGUCCUCCACCCUAAAUGUUGCAUGUGCUCCACCUUUAAUAAACGGCAGCUCGCCUGAGCGCGAUGACCUUUAAAAGCCGAUACAGCUCCAACGUCUUCAAACAUCGUCAGGACUCUUCACGUUUCCAGCUCGGCUGUCUCUGCUCGCCGCCUCUAACCACACUCACACUUCGACCUUCAGACACUGUGUCGCUGACAACACGAGCUCAUCUCCUGCAUCACGAGCUGAAUUUAUUAUUUCAUGUUCUGUUCUGAAGAUGCUGAAUGUUCAUUUCACAGCCAAGUUUUAAAUUGAAACUACACUUGAAAUUAUUAUUAUUAAAUUAUUUUCAUUCUGGAUUCACCUGCAGAUUUUUUUCUCAAUAAAUCUGUAAAAAACUAAAAAUAAAUAAAUUUAAAAAACGGUCCAGAACCAGAGUGUGAAUGUUUCUCCUGUCAGAACAUUCGGACCUCUCUGCUUCAAACUUCAGUGAUCGUCGAGUCCUGACGGAUAAAAAUCAAAUCACCUCUCGAUAGUUUUGGGCUCGUCAGCUGAUCGUGGAAACAAAUCAAUGAAAAAAUACAAAAAUAUGAAGAACCAUGAAUUUAUGACCAGAACCACAGGUCCACUUCCUCUUCCUGUCUGUGACUCAGUGAAGUCAAAAGGAACCGACGACAGCUCUGAUCACGUUCUUCAACAGAACCAUCUGAUUUAAAACCAGAACCAGAAACGGUUCUUUACAGGAGAACCAUUAAACGGUUCUUUACAGGAGAACAUUAAACGGUUCUUUACAGGAGAACUGUUCUUUAAGAACAUUUUUGAUGGACUUCUUUGUUGGUUCCAGUGAGCACCAACAGGUUUUUAGUGUGUACUGUAUGAUAGUAAUUUUGAUAAAUCACUUCUUUGGUAUUUCUGUGUUUGUGUUCACAGCUGAGUCAGAGCUGCAGGAAGUUUAAACUAAACUGGAAAAAGACGUCAGACAGAACCAGUGUCCGUCAUGAACUCUGAGUGUGUCCGUCAUGAACUGAGUGUGUCCGUCAUGAACUCUGAGUGUGUCCGUCAUGAACUCUGAGUGUGUCCGUCAUGAACUCUGAGUGUGUCCGUCAUGAACUCUGAGUGUGUCCGUCAUGAACUCUGAGUGUGUCCGUCAUGAACUCUGAGUGUGUCCGUCAUGAACUCUGAGUGUGUCCGUCAUGAACUCUGAGUGUGUCCGUCAUGAACUCUGAGUGUGUCCGUCAUGAACUCUGAGUGUGUCCGUCAUGAACUCUGAGUGUGUCCGUCAUGAACUCUGAGUGUGUCCGUCAUGAACUCUGAGUGUGUCCGUCAUGAACUCUGAGUGUGUCCGUCAUGAACUCUGAGUGUGUCCGUCAUGAACUCUGAGUGUGUCCGUCAUGAACUCUGAGUGUGUCCGUCAUGAACUCUGAGUGUGUCCGUCAUGAACUCUGAGUGUGUCCGUCAUGAACUCUGAGUGUGUCCGUCAUGAACUCUGAGUGUGUCCGUCAUGAACUCUGAGUGUGUCCGUCAUGAACUCUGAGUGUGUCCGUCAUGAACUCUGAGUGUGUCCGUCAUGAACUCUGAGUGUGUCCGUCAUGAACUCUGAGUGUGUCCGUCAUGAACUCUGAGUGUGUCCGUCAUGAACUCUGAGUGUGUCCGUCAUGAACUCUGAGUGUGUCCGUCAUGAACUCUGAGUGUGUCCGUCAUGAACUCUGAGUGUGUCCGUCAUGAACUCUGAGUGUGUCCGUCAUGAACUCUGAGUGUGUCCGUCAUGAACUCUGAGAGUGUCCGUCAUGAACUCUGAGAGUGUCCGUCAUGAACUGAGAGUGUCCGUCAUGAACUCUGAGAGUGUCCGUCAUGAACUGAGUGUGUCCGUCAUGAACUCUGAGAGUGUCCGUCAUGAACUCUGAGUGUGUCGUCACGUGCACGAGGACGACAUGCUGUAAAUGUGCGCAGGUCGGAUCAGUGUGUCUUUGUUCAGCAGCUGUAUUUAUUACUGUACAUUUUCAUUCAGGUGUGCUCGUACGUCUUUGCUUCUUAAUGUUUCAGUCCAUUCUUUCCCCUCUCCACCCUCUCCACCCUCCCUCCGUCAUCUCACCCAUCUCUUGCAGUUGCUUGUCCCUCGCUGUUCCCUCCUCUCGCUCCCCCCAUCAAAUAUUCUGCUCACGCACAACUGCGGCACCCUUUCUCCAGUCCUCCCCAUUAAUCCACACCACAGACAUCUUGGCCCACUGUCUCGUCUCAGAGUCUGACGGUGCCUCAGCGUUUUUCACAGGCCGUGAGGCCGAACAUGCCGUUCACUGUGCACACACACUUGUAGUAUAUCACACCCACUGAAUACCGCUGAUUAGAAAACGUAAGACGCCACCGUGCACGCCAAAGGAAAGGUCAUAUGAGGAUAAGAGGCACUCCACCACACACACACACAGAGUAUAUAACCUGUAUGUUCAGCCAUGCAGCACAAGCGGAUGGCGAGCCUCAGCCGGGUCGGGCCGGCUCCGGAUGCUUUUUAAAGACGCUGGCUUCGAGUCAGAAAACAACUGUUCUGCUGCGUCCUGACAAAAUCUGAGUUCAUGAUGCGACUGCUGAAUUUAGUUUUUUUGUGUUUGUUGUGAAGAAAAAAGCACAUCUAAAUAAAGAUCUGACACAUUUAAAUAAAUGAGAUUAUUACUGGACUGUUCUCUCUGGUCAUUAUCUUCACAGUCACGGUCCUCAUGCUGGACGUGCUGCAGUACUGUGACAAAGUCAAAGAAUCCGUUCUGGGUGGCACGCGGCGUCUUAAGGAGCCGGAGAAGGAGCGAGCACAAUGACAUAGCAGGGGAGGAAGAGUGCGGAUGGAGGAAGAGCCUCAAACCAGAGCUCGACAUCUGGAAAGAGCUUUUCUUUCUCUCUUGGUUUUGUGCUUAAUGUUGGCACAGCGGCAGAAUGUAGACAGGUGGAAACAGUUUGAUGAUGAGGACGAUGAGUUUACAUUCCUUAUCUGAAAUAAGGAUCCAGAGAUAUUUUCCAGCAGUGUUUCAAACUAGCCCACCGAGCCUCAUCAGCCACCCUCCUCCUGCCAUUUCAGAGCCUUGUUCCCUCCCCUCCUCCUCCCUCCUCCUCCCUCCUUCUCUCCCAUUCAUUCAGUUUAAUUUUGAACUCUGCACUGGUAGACAGGCAGAGAGGGUAGCUCCAUGGUUACCUGGCACCAGGCCAUCUCAUUACACUGCCAAUUGAUUCUGGCCUGCCGCCAUGUCCGCUGCCUACCUCCCCCCGCACCCCGCACCAUCCACCAUGCACCAUGCACCAUCCUCCAUCCACCAUCAUCCAUCCACCAUCCUCCAUCUCUGCACCCCAGACUGUCUGCAGCAAACGGAGGUUUCAGAACACACAGGAAGGAAAGAGGCUUCGCUCAGCGUAAAACCUGCAACGCUCGAGCCCCCAAACAGCAACGAGUCCAACAUUUACACACUUACUGUCACCUGAUCGUCUCAUUAAAAAUGAAAUAUGCAUCCUGUUCGGGUAAAUAAGAAUUUUUGUCUGAGUGAAAACAAUUAAAAAAAAUAAAGAGACGAAAGUAUUCAGCAGAAAAUUAAACAGUCAGACGUGUUUGAACAGAUCAAGAAUAACUAUAA
Larimichthys crocea (large yellow croaker) is the source of this 5057-nucleotide long non-coding RNA. RefSeq lists it as uncharacterized. The transcript is spliced from 3 exons. Lineage: Eukaryota; Metazoa; Chordata; Actinopteri; Sciaenidae. The record is from RefSeq and is a predicted model, not a curated record.